GAUGAACGCUGGCGGCGUGCCUAAUACAUGCAAGUCGAGCGAACGGACGAGAAGCUUGCUUCUCUGAUGUUAGCGGCGGACGGGUGAGUAACACGUGGAUAACCUACCUAUAAGACUGGGAUAACUUCGGGAAACCGGAGCUAAUACCGGAUAAUAUUUUGAACCGCAUGGUUCAAAAGUGAAAGACGGUCUUGCUGUCACUUAUAGAUGGAUCCGCGCUGCAUUAGCUAGUUGGUAAGGUAACGGCUUACCAAGGCAACGAUGCAUAGCCGACCUGAGAGGGUGAUCGGCCACACUGGAACUGAGACACGGUCCAGACUCCUACGGGAGGCAGCAGUAGGGAAUCUUCCGCAAAGGGCGAAAGCCUGACGGAGCAACGCCGCGUGAGUGAUGAAGGUCUUCGGAUCGUAAAACUCUGUUAUUAGGGAAGAACAUAUGUGUAAGUAACUGUGCGCAUCUUGACGGUACCUAAUCAGAAAGCCACGGCUAACUACGUG
RNAcentral lists this ribosomal RNA (497 nucleotides) under uncultured bacterium. RNAcentral's name for it is "partial 16S ribosomal RNA". It matches the Rfam family "Bacterial small subunit ribosomal RNA", at positions 28 to 507 of the family's 1533-position model. The record is from RNAcentral.